GGGCGUGUACCGAAGUGGUCAAACGGGGCGGACUGUAAAUCCGCUGGCUCUGCCUUCGUAGGUUCGAAUCCUACCGCGCCCA
This 82-nucleotide transfer RNA is filed under the name Phycisphaerae bacterium. Its description in RNAcentral is "tRNA-Tyr". It matches the Rfam family "tRNA". From Rfam's summary of the family: Transfer RNA (tRNA) molecules are approximately 80 nucleotides in length. Lineage: Bacteria; Pseudomonadati; Planctomycetota; Phycisphaerae. The record is from RNAcentral.